GCCCGAUUAACUCAGUGGUAGAGUGUUUCCUCGACAAGGAAAAAGUCAGUGGUUCAAAUCCGCUAUCGGGCA
RNAcentral lists this transfer RNA (72 nucleotides) under Epsilonproteobacteria bacterium SCGC AD-308-E02. Its description in RNAcentral is "tRNA_Val_GAC". It matches the Rfam family "tRNA". From Rfam's summary of the family: Transfer RNA (tRNA) molecules are approximately 80 nucleotides in length. Their secondary structure includes four short double-helical elements and three loops (D, anti-codon, and T loops). Further hydrogen bonds mediate the characteristic L-shaped molecular structure. tRNAs have two regions of fundamental functional importance: the anti-codon, which is responsible for specific mRNA codon recognition, and the 3' end, to which the tRNAs corresponding amino acid is attached (by aminoacyl-tRNA synthetases). tRNAs cope with the degeneracy of the genetic code in two manners: having more than one tRNA (with a specific anti-codon) for a particular amino acid; and 'wobble' base-pairing, i.e. permitting non-standard base-pairing at the 3rd anti-codon position. Lineage: Bacteria; Pseudomonadati; Campylobacterota. The record is from RNAcentral.